Molecule: ribosomal RNA, 641 nt
Filed under: uncultured bacterium
Lineage: Bacteria
Description: bacterial SSU rRNA
Rfam family: Bacterial small subunit ribosomal RNA
Source: RNAcentral
CCUACGGGAGGCAGCAGUGGGGAAUUUUGGACAAUGGGCGCAAGCCUGAUCCAGCAAUGCCGCGUGCAGGAUGAAGGCCUUCGGGUUGUAAACUGCUUUUGUACGGAACGAAACGGUCCUUUCUAAUAUAAGGGGCUAAUGACGGUACCGUAAGAAUAAGCACCGGCUAACUACGUGCCAGCAGCCGCGGUAAUACGUAGGGUGCGAGCGUUAAUCGGAAUUACUGGGCGUAAAGCGUGCGCAGGCGGUUAUAUAAGACAGAUGUGAAAUCCCCGGGCUCAACCUGGGACCUGCAUUUGUGACUGUAUAGCUAGAGUACGGUAGAGGGGGAUGGAAUUCCGCGUGUAGCAGUGAAAUGCGUAGAUAUGCGGAGGAACACCGAUGGCGAAGGCAAUCCCCUGGACCUGUACUGACGCUCAUGCACGAAAGCGUGGGGAGCAAACAGGAUUAGAUACCCUGGUAGUCCACGCCCUAAACGAUGUCAACUGGUUGUUGGGUCUUCACUGACUCAGUAACGAAGCUAACGCGUGAAGUUGACCGCCUGGGGAGUACGGCCGCAAGGUUGAAACGUCAAAAGUAGUAAGUUACGGACGUCGUAGGACGACGUCGACCGACGGACCGACGACGGGAGGGAGGUUAGG